AGUCUAAGUUUCCAUAACAUGGAAAAAUUUCUUAUCUUAGAGACAAACACGGAAAGGUAUAUACACAUAUAUAAUGCAAUUGUCUUGGGAAAGACAUUACUAGAGGAGAAAUACUAAUGCAUAAGUUCCUCCUUCUAGGACAGCUUUCGCAGCAGGGAUCCAGGAAAGCAACGCUUAUGGAGAAGGGGACAACCACUACCAUCAACUUUCAUCCAUAUGGUGGGGAAACCAUCUAACUAAAAUAGCAACAUGUCUUGAGGCAGGGAGAGAAAGAAUACAGGAUGUUCCAGGUGGAUGGAGUAUUGAAUCUGGAAUCAGGGAGACUCAUCUACUUCAGUUCAAUUCCGUCCUUAGACUUUUACUAGUUAUGUGACACUGGGAAAGAACUUAAACCUCCUUGCCUCAGUUUCCUCAUUGGUUAAAAGAACUCGAGAAGGAACUGGACAAACACUCCAUUAUCUUCGUCAGAAAACCCCAAAUGGAUUUUCAAAGAAUUGAAUAUAACUGAAAUGACUGAACAACAACAAAAUCUGGCUGAAUUGAGAUAAAUUAUGAGAGUUGUACCAUGCAAUAUUAAAACAUUAGAUGAUAAG
Molecule: long non-coding RNA, 593 nt
Filed under: Monodelphis domestica (gray short-tailed opossum)
Lineage: Eukaryota; Metazoa; Chordata; Mammalia; Didelphimorphia; Didelphidae
Description: lncRNA (ENSMODG00000032768.2)
Source: RNAcentral